Molecule: ribosomal RNA, 405 nt
Filed under: uncultured bacterium
Lineage: Bacteria
Description: partial 16S ribosomal RNA
Rfam family: Bacterial small subunit ribosomal RNA
Source: RNAcentral
GAUGAACGCUGGCGGCGUGCCUAAUACAUGCAAGUCGAGCGAAGCGGGGACGGGUGAGUAACACGUGGAUAACCUCCUAUAAGACUGGGGUAACUUCGGGAAACCGGAGCCAAACCGGCUACUUAUCGCUGGAUCCGUGCUGCAUUAGCUAGUGGGUAAGGUAACGGCUUCCCAAGGCAACGAUGCAUAUCCGACCUGAGAGUGUGAGCGGCCACACUGGAACUGAGACACGGUCCAGACUCCUACGGGAGGCAGCAGUAGGGAAUCUUGCGCAAUGGGCGAAAGCCGGACAGAGCAACGCCGCGUGAGUGAUGAAGGUCGUCGGAUCGUAAAACUCUGUUAUUAGGGAAGCGGUACCUAAUCAGAAAGCCACGGCUAACUACGUGCCAGCAGCCGCGGUAAUAC